UCGUAACACGAACCGGUGCUAAAGAGUCCUGCUCAACGGCUAAUGACAGGUGCUGUCGGGGCAGAGACCCUUUAGCACCGGUUCGUGUUACUAA
Molecule: microRNA precursor, 94 nt
Organism: Sorghum bicolor (sorghum)
Lineage: Eukaryota; Viridiplantae; Streptophyta; Magnoliopsida; Poales; Poaceae
Rfam family: MIR5387 microRNA precursor family
Source: Rfam